AACAUCUCAAAUCUCUCGACGCUUGCGUUUUGAGAGAAUUGGAUUUGAGCAAUCCCGACUCUUUCAUCAGAAAGAGGAGGGUUGCUUGAAAUGCAGGUGCAGCUGGACAUUCUUCUGAGCUAAAAGCAUAUCUAUUUAGUCCCGUCAAACGGAUUAUUACUUUUGCUUCAGCUAAUAUAAAGGUCGAAUGAACUACCAACGCUGAUUGCAGGAAAACUCGUUUGUAACAGAACUUGUAA
Molecule: unclassified non-coding RNA, 239 nt
Filed under: Mortierella elongatula
Lineage: Eukaryota; Fungi; Mortierellomycota; Mortierellomycetes; Mortierellales; Mortierellaceae
Description: partial internal transcribed spacer 2
Source: RNAcentral